CUGUGUGUGCUAUAGGAGCUGUCAAGUUAGUACAGUCCCUGUGUGUGCUGUAAGAGCUGUCAAGUUAGUACAGUCCCUGUGUGUGCUGUAAGAGCUGUCAGGUUAGUACAGUCCCUGUGUGUGCUGUAAGAGCUGUCAGGUUAGUACAGUCCCUGUGUGUGCUGUAAGAGCUGUCAGGUUAGUACAGUCCCUGUGUGUGCUGUAAGAGCUGUCAAGUUAGUACAGUCCCUGUGUGUGCUGUAAGAGCUGUCAGGUUAGUACAGUCCCUGUGUGUGCUGUAAGAGCUGUCAGGUUAGUACAGUCCCUGUGUGUGCUGUAAGAGCUGUCAAGUUAGUACAGUCCCUGUGUGUGCUGUAAGA
Molecule: long non-coding RNA, 359 nt
Organism: Brienomyrus brachyistius
Lineage: Eukaryota; Metazoa; Chordata; Actinopteri; Osteoglossiformes; Mormyridae
Exons: 4
Source: RefSeq, a predicted model, not a curated record